Molecule: ribosomal RNA, 440 nt
Filed under: uncultured bacterium
Lineage: Bacteria
Description: bacterial SSU rRNA
Rfam family: Bacterial small subunit ribosomal RNA
Source: RNAcentral
CCUACGGGAGGCAGCAGUGGGGAAUAUUGCACAAUGGGGGAAACCCUGAUGCAGCAACGCCGCGUGAGCGAUGAAGGCCUUCGGGUCGUAAAGCUCUGUCCUAAGGGAAGAAUACUGACGGUACCUUAGGAGGAAGCCCCGGCUAACUACGUGCCAGCAGCCGCGGUAAUACGUAGGGGGCUAGCGUUAUCCGGAAUUACUGGGCGUAAAGGGUGCGUAGGCGGCCCUUCAAGUCAGAGGUGAAAGGCUACGGCGAGACCGUAGUAAGCCUUUGAAAGUGGAGGGCUUAGGUGCAGGGAGGUAGGGAGGGAUACCAUUGGCGGAGGAGCCAGGCGGGGCUACGGGGGGUAACAACAGUCGCGACGGUGGCUCGAGGAACUGGCACGACCGCCGAGUCCGGACCGCUUGGGGGCAGCACAUGAUAAGACACCCUGGUAUUC